RNAcentral lists this unclassified non-coding RNA (650 nucleotides) under uncultured Prochlorococcus sp. RNAcentral's name for it is "partial 16S-23S ribosomal RNA intergenic spacer; may also contain 16S ribosomal RNA and 23S ribosomal RNA". The stretch from base 300 to 372 matches the Rfam family "tRNA". Lineage: Bacteria; Bacillati; Cyanobacteriota; Cyanophyceae; Synechococcales; Prochlorococcaceae. The record is from RNAcentral.
UUGUGGAGGAGGACGCCGAAGGUGGGGCUAAUGACUGGGGUGAAGUCGUAACAAGGUAGCCGUACCGGAAGGUGCGGCUGGAUCACCUCCUAACAGGGAGACAACAGAAUGUAAAAAUUAAUUUUGUCACCUUAGGUCGAUCGGUACCUCUGAUUCUUUUUUAAGAAUUUCAGUUUCUAAGUUUUUUCUAGGUCACACCCAUUACUUUUCCCUGGGCCAUUAGCUCAGGUGGUUAGAGCGCACCCCUGAUAAGGGUGAGGUCCCUGGUUCAAGUCCAGGAUGGCCCAUAUCUCUAUGUUGGGGGUAUAGCUCAGUUGGUAGAGCGCCUGCUUUGCAAGCAGGAUGUCAGCGGUUCGAGUCCGCUUACCUCCACUGAAUACCACCACUUUAGUGAUUUUAACUGGGAAAUUUAUUGAGAUGCUGCCUAAUUUCUGAACGAAUCUAGCUUCCUAAUUUACUUUUAAGUUAAUUAAGAUGCUGGACUCAUUGAAUUAAUUUCAUUGAUUUCAGAGAACCUUGACAACUGCAUAGAUUAUUUUUAAAGACAAUAAGCAUCUUUAAUGAUGCAGAUUUAUUAUUUGUGCAAAUGCAUUAAUAACAAUUCUAUUAAGCUGAUGCUUCAAUAUCUGAAGUUAUUGGUCAAGCUACAA